GACGAACGCUGGCGGCGUGCUUAACACAUGCAAGUCGAACGGAAAGGCCCUGCUUUUGUGGGGUGCUCGAGUGGCGAACGGGUGAGUAACACGUGAGUAACCUUCCCUUGACUUUGGGAUAACUUCAGGAAACUCGGGCUAAUACCGGAUAGGAUCUCCUGCUGCAUGGUGGGGGUUGGAAAGUUUCGGCGGUUGGGGAUGUGCUCGCGGCUUAUCAGCUUGUUGGGGGGGUAGUGGCUUACCAAGGGUUUGACGGGUAGCCGGCCUGGGAGGGUGAACGGGGACAAUGGGAAUGAGGGAGGGACCAGAAGGGAACGGGAGGCAGCAGUGGGAAAGAUGGCAGAAUGGGGGGAAGCCUGAGGCAGCAAAGCCGGGGGCGGGAAGAGGGGCUUGGGGUUGUAAAACGCUGUGGGAGGAGACGAAGCGAGAGUGACGGUAAUGGGUAAAGAAGCACCGGCUAACUACGUG
This 468-nucleotide ribosomal RNA is filed under the name uncultured bacterium. Its description in RNAcentral is "partial 16S ribosomal RNA". It matches the Rfam family "Bacterial small subunit ribosomal RNA", at positions 28 to 507 of the family's 1533-position model. The record is from RNAcentral.